UUUUGCCACACGCACAUUCCUGGUAGAUUACUUUGUAACGUUAAUGCUUUAUUUCUACUGUUUAGCU
Molecule: long non-coding RNA, 67 nt
Organism: Etheostoma spectabile (orangethroat darter)
Lineage: Eukaryota; Metazoa; Chordata; Actinopteri; Perciformes; Percidae
Exons: 3
Source: RefSeq, a predicted model, not a curated record